Molecule: non-coding RNA, 767 nt
Organism: Gymnodraco acuticeps
Lineage: Eukaryota; Metazoa; Chordata; Actinopteri; Perciformes; Bathydraconidae
Source: the annotation of a RefSeq genome assembly
UCAGCCUUUUAGUUUUGUUUUCAUCUGCGUUAGGAUCAUGGUUAGACUCCUUGUACUUUUAGCAGCUUUGCCGUUCUGCUUAACAGAACCGUCAGAGAACAGCGUUCAUCAGAAUCCCACGGCGCUGAUCAAACACCUUGGAGAAGACGUCCUGAUAACGUGCAGCCAUUCCAGCACACGCUUUGAUCAGAUCCAGUGGUAUAAACAGUCUGCUGGGGGAAAUGACAUGGUGCUACUCGGCUAUGUACGAUUCACUAAUCCAGCUGUGGAAGCUCAAUUUAAAGGCACUUAUAACGUGAGUGGUAAUGGGCAAAGUCUGGCACAUCUUCAUAUUCCAAAGACACGUCGAUCUGAAGACAGCGCCGUUUAUUUCUGUGCUGCCAGCGAAGCACAGUGCUGCACAAACCCUGCGUCUUCAACAAAAACUCCCUGUAAUGCAGCCGGAUACACAAUGUGGAAUUACCACAUGAAUAAGGAAUACGCCACAUAGUGAGUGACUGAUAUCAGACAGCUGGCUCACUAUAAGACAGUCGGACAGAGGGAAAGACAAGCAAACAUUUUUUAUUUUUAGUAAGACAUACAUUUUUAAAUAUAUUAUUUUAAGGUUUUUGGAGAGUGCUGUGUAUUUUGUUGCUGUCAGCAAACUGGUUGACAUUACAUUUGAAUGUUUCUGUCACUCCAGUAGGUGGCGCUGUAGCUCCAGAAAUACUCUCUUGUGAAACACAUGAAGCACUAUGAAAUAUAAAGUAGCUAGGGAAUAUGUGAAA